UACGGAGGGUGCAAGCGUUAAUCGGAAUUACUGGGCGUAAAGCGCACGUAGGCGGCUUGUUAAGUCGGAUGUGAAAGCCCCGGGCUCAACCUGGGAAUGGCAUCCGAUACUGGCAAGCUAGAGUACAAGAGAGGGUGGUAGAAUUUCUAGUGUAGCGGUGAAAUGCGUAGAUAUUAGAAGGAAUACCGGUGGCGAAGGCGGCCACCUGGCUUGAUACUGACGCUGAGGUGCGAAAGCGUGGGGAGCAAACAGG
RNAcentral lists this ribosomal RNA (253 nucleotides) under uncultured bacterium. Its description in RNAcentral is "partial 16S ribosomal RNA". It matches the Rfam family "Bacterial small subunit ribosomal RNA", at positions 524 to 776 of the family's 1533-position model. RNAcentral also lists the same sequence under 1 other name. The record is from RNAcentral.